GACGAACGCUGGCGGCGUGCUUAACACAUGCAAGUCGAACGGAAAGGCCCUGCUUUUGCGGGUUUCUCGAGUGGCGAACGGGUGAGUAACACGUGAGUAACCUGCCCUUGACUUUGGGAUAACUUCAGGAAACUGGGGCUAAUACCGGAUAGGAGCUCCUGCACCAUGGUGGGGGUUGGAAAGUUUCGGCGGUUGGGGAUGGACUCGCGGCUUAUCAGCUUGUUGGUGGGGUAGUGGCUUACCAAGCCUUUGACGGGUAGCCGGCCUGAGAGGGUUACCGGCCACAUGGGGACUGAGAUACGGCCCAGAAUGCUACGGUAGGCAGCAGUGGGAAAUAUUGCACAAUGGGCGGAAGCCUGAUGCAGCAACGCCGCGUGCGGGAUGACGGCCUUCGGGUUGUAAACCGCUUUCGCCUGUGACGAAGCGUGAGUGACGGUAAUGGGUAAAGAAGCACCGGCUAACUACGUG
This 468-nucleotide ribosomal RNA is filed under the name uncultured bacterium. RNAcentral's name for it is "partial 16S ribosomal RNA". It matches the Rfam family "Bacterial small subunit ribosomal RNA", at positions 28 to 507 of the family's 1533-position model. The record is from RNAcentral.